This is a non-coding RNA of Mycena vulgaris, 96 nucleotides long. The record is from the annotation of a GenBank genome assembly. Lineage: Eukaryota; Fungi; Basidiomycota; Agaricomycetes; Agaricales; Mycenaceae.
UCAGAUGUGGUGCAGUGAGAACACAGCUUCUUGUUUUAGGUCUGUAUCGCAUACAUAUUUCAGAGGCAGCCCGGGGUUCGAUUCCCUGCAUCUGAG